Molecule: ribosomal RNA, 468 nt
Filed under: uncultured bacterium
Lineage: Bacteria
Description: partial 16S ribosomal RNA
Rfam family: Bacterial small subunit ribosomal RNA
Source: RNAcentral
GACGAACGCUGGCGGCGUGCUUAACACAUGCAAGUCGAACGGAAAGGAGAUGCGUUUGUGGCGUGCUCGAGUGGCGAACGGGUGAGUAACACGCGAGUAACCUGCCCUUGACUUUGGGAUAACUUCAGGAAACUGGGGCUAAUACCGGAUAGGAGCUCCUGCUGCAUGGGGGGGGAUGGAAAAUUUCGGCGGUUGUGGCUGGACUCGCGGGUUAUCAGCUUGUUGGUGGGGUAGUCGCUGACCAAGGCUUAGACGGGUAGCCGGCCUGAGAGGGUGACCGGCGACAUUGGGACUGAGAUACGGCAGAGCCUGCUAUCGGAGGCAGCAGUCGAGAGUAUGUCACAAUGACCGGAAGCUGGAUGAGGCGACUCGCCGAGCGUGAGGCCCGGCUUCGUGUUGUAAACCGCUUUGGCAGGUGACAAAGCGUGAUUGACGGUAAUUGGUAAAGAAGCAACGGCUAACUACGUG